AGCGUGGAAGGGUCUCAAAAACAUGACGCUGAGUGACAGAAGCCAGACCCCAAAGGACCGCAUCUCACGGGAUUCCAUCUCUAAGAAACGUCCGGAGUGAGCAAACCCACAGGAACGGAAAGCCCAGGGCUGGGGCUGGCGGGGGCGGGAGGAACGAGGAGUGCCUGAUCUCCCCAGGCGUCGGGCUUUCUCCUUGGGUUGAUGGGGGUAUUUUGGGAAGAGAGGUGGUGGUUGCACAGCAGUGAGAAUGUACCGAGCGCCACCGAAAUGCACACUUAAAAAGGGCCAGAAUCAUUACGUAGAUCUUGACCGCGCACACACGGAAAACGAUGACAACACUCCCGCCCCCUCCCUUCCUUCCGCUGGAGUCGAGUUCGGAAGUGAAGGACAGAGACAAGAAAGCUGCUCAGAAGCAUCUGGUAGAAGCAUCUGGAAGGGAAUGGGAGGGCAGGCCAGGUGGGGAACUCCCCAGGGCCCGUGUCCCAGCCUAGGAAGGUGGUUGCGUCGAGGCUCCUGAAUGGCUGCCUCAAGACCUGUGGGCGCCAGGAGAAAGGCCAGGCAGGGCGGGGUCCCCAAAUGCCAGGGCGGAAGCCAGAACAAUGGUGUCCCCUGCCUUUGGACCCCUUCCAAGGUUCGCAUUUUCCAUGGAGAUAGCACUCAUGAGAACUGGCAGGGAGAAGACAACGCUGGGUUUCCCCGGUGCCCGCCGUGAAGUGGCUGCGUGAUGUGCCGCUGCGUGGCCAGCCCCACGCCCACUCCCUGCACACACCUGGCUCCUGGGUCCCCGCCCAUGGGAAAGCCUCGGGAGCUCUGCUUUCAAGGUACCUGGUGGAGUGAUGCUGGCUGGCGUGGUUCCUGAGGGGACCACAGAGAAAGCCGGACACGGACCCAGCCGCAGUGAGCUGCUGAGCCCCCCUCACUGUGGGGAGCACUGUGCCAAGAGUCACGGGAGGGAUCUGGGGCUCAUCCUGGGCUUUGUCUGCCAACUACGAGCCCUUUGGAAAUCCGUGUCACCUUUGGGGGCUUUAUGCUUGCUAAGCCCUGUGUCCCCAUUCUACAGCUGGGAAAACGGAGGCUCCCCACCGUAAUCCUGGCUCAUCAACAAAGCAGGAAGCUGCAUUCUGUGGCUCUUCUCCCUCGCGGGGCGGGACUCCAUACAGGACACGACAUAGACAUUCGCACAAACGUGCCGGACCGCAGCCAGACGGCUCCUCUCUGCAGCCCACGAAGGAACCGUCACUCCCUCUCAUUGCAGACAAGGACACUAAUGCCCAGAACAUGAAACCGUUUGCCCCGAGUCCCGGGCCAGGAAGCUGGAGACAGUGUCCCCCUCAUGGCACAGAGCACGGAUGGGACGCGAGCCUCUGGGACGAGCGGUAUUGGAAGCUGCAGUCCUCUGGUCUCCUCCUGGCAGCUCAGGAACCUCGCCUCUGUCUCCAGGAGCAGCGGGAAGGGGAUUGCGGCUUCAAGCUGGUGACAAAGGCUGGCCAGGCAGCUGUUGGAAGGAUGGACUGCCAAUCACACCGUCCCUGUGCUCCGGGAGAGAGGACGCCUUUCUGGGACCUUCGGAAGCAGGCCAGCAGUGUGGGGAGGGAUCGGGGCCUCUCGCCUGGGGCCGUGGGAGAGCCGGGCAGUCCCUCCCCUCUCCUGAGCCCUGCCAGCUGCUCCCAGCCUUGAGCUCUGGUGACUGUUCCCCUUCCAAGAGCUGAGACCCUUGGGCUGGGCAGCCUUCCAAGCCUCGGUCCCCCCUUCUGCAAAAGGAGGACCCUCUUUUCUUCCCUCCCUGGGUGGAAGCCAGGAUUGCACUGGAAAAGGGAUAUUCACAGCUGAAACCCAGCUUCUGUCCCUCACUGUGAGCUGUUCCCCCACAUGAUGUGCCCAAGUGCCCCCAGGGGCCUGUCACUCACCCCACAGCCACUACGGCUCUGCCUCGCCUGGGUGGAGGCCAGCCAUCGCCUCCCCAUGUGGGGGCCCCAUGGGCCCAGACUCCACACGGGCUCAGACCAACCUCGUUCCCUCACACACGGCCUCACUGGUCAGGGAUCCGGGCUGAGUGAGCCAGGGUCUCCCUCCCCAGGGUGCGAUGCCUCUUCUGGGAAGCCCCAGAGACCUCCUGCUCCCUUCAGCUCCAGAAGGAAAUGUCACCCCAGCCAGGGCCAGCUGAGGGUCACUGGGAACACGGGGCCAACAGGGCUGUGCUCCUUGCCUGAACUUGUCCUCACCACCCUGUCUGCAUGAGGGACACAGACCGUGCCAUUCUCCAGCCAUCUCUCCUGGAGGGGCAGCGAGGCAGGGGUCAGGACAGGAGCAAGGCAGAGCCUUCCAGAACCAAGGCCACGAUGAUGACGUUACCAGACCUUGAUGGGUGCACCGUGCAUGUUUCUGGAAUGGACGUCGUCACGCUCUCCGAGAGCUGCCCUGGCUGGCAUAGGCCUGCUCCGGUCACCUGCUCACUGCCUCCCAGAGACAUGGCCCCUGUCACUCCCUUCUUUACAGAUGGGGAAGCUGAGGUUCAGGUCAUCCCAGGUCACCGGCCAGGAUGGUCUGGCUGGAACUCUUGGCUUGCAUUCUGCCCAAGACCCCUUUCUUCCCCAGAUAUCCCUGCUGGCUCUGCAGUAUGAGCGGGGGCGGGGGGGGGUACGUGGGCGAGGAGGAGGCCCCACGGGUCUCACCUCCCUGCCUGCCCUCACUUUUUGCUCCAUCAGGGCCCUGGGAAUGCACUGAGAUCCCCGAGGAGGGAAUGUGCUAGAAAUGUGCUCCCAGCCCUCUGGGUGUCCCCUACUCCCCACCCCUCACCCCCCAGCGCUCUGCUCUCUCUCUCUGCAGGGGUGGCUGGGAGGGGCUGGCUUCACGGGGCUUCAGGGGGCACUGGGGGAGGACAGUAUUUACAGGGUUCCUCACCAGCCCCUGAGCCAGUGUGCACCCUCCCAGGGGCCAGCGGCCAGCAGCCAGCAGCCAGUGGGUCCUUUACCUUCUGAAAUGCAAAAUCGGAGGCUGAGUUUUGGUGCUCGCCGCCCUUCCCUGCCCCCAGGUUCCCAGGGUGAGGGUCGAACUCCUGCAGCCUCUGCUUCUGCCCCCUUGGAGCCUCUUCCAUCUCCAGGGUGAGGACUGAGGGCUCCCGAGGCAGAAGACCCCUACCCACCUGGCCCCACCCCUCACUCCGUCCGCUGGACCCCUGGCCACUGCCCACUCUGCACUCUGUGCCCUGGGCCUCUCACACCAGGACCCUCACUACGCUGGUGGGGAGGGCUCAGCCAGAGGUCCAUCCGCCCGUGCAGGGCCUGGCACCUGGGCAGGUGGAUAUUUGCUGGGUGCAGGAAUUGGCCCAGGUCUGCGUGGAGCUCCGCCCAGUUGACAGACGUGCACACAGAUGAAAUAAAUUCUGGCAACUGAAGGUAUCCCGUGCCUUCCUCCCUCAGUGCCCGGUGCACUGCAAUUGUGAGAAUGUGUAGAAGGGAGGGGCUGAGCCCGGAGAGCUUCCCGGCAAGACAGGGCCCCGUGGGAUGGCCUGGGGACAGGACACUGCUGGCAGGCAGCCAGAGGGGGAAGGGAGGGCCUGCAUGUGCCUGGAGGGGAGAGCAGGGGUCAGGGCCGCACACAGGGAGGCAUGCCAAGCCCGGGCAUAGAGGGUAUCCAAGCGGCCACGUGGAACCUCUGUGAGUCUGUAGGGGGGAGAAGGUAUGUGUUUACCCUGGUUUUGAACCAAGGCCUGCAGGGCAGUGUGGGGAGGACAGAAGGAAGGGCCUAACUCAAGAAUCAUGGUGCCAGGAAGGAAGUAGGAACAGGGAGGAGAGUGCUGGCAAUCCGGCUGGAUCUAUCCUUCCCUUCUUCCUUAGUAACAGAACCUCCUGUUAUUACAUCUACGGCCACCUAGAAUAAAGACAACCUUUUCCAAGCUCCUCGGCAGCUGAAUACACAAGUAGCUACCUUCUGACAAAUGGGAUACCAGUAGAAGUGUCCUCAAAUAGGGGACACCUCAUUUCUCCUUCCUUCCUGCUGUCUGGAGUGCAGGUUAUGGCUGGAGCUCAAGCAGCCACUUUGGGCCAUGAAGCCUUGUGUCUGGAAGUAUGAAGCAAUUAGAGUGUGGGUUUUUGAAACUCGUGCAGCCACCAUAUCUUACCCACACUGUUUCCUUGGGGCCUUUGGAAACUUCUAGUGUGUUUUGGGUUACUGUUAUUUUGGGUGUUCUCAUUCUCUAGCUAGAUCUAAACUUAAUAGGUGUAAGGUGGGAGGGGAGGGCUCAGAUUCUGAGGGCUCUACUGAGACUUGAUGAAGGAUGGAGGAGUGAGAAGACAGAGCCAAGGCCUUUGAGGUUCUGUUCAGAGGUGGUAGAAUGUUUCUCUCAGCAUACAUUAAGUGCCUUCUGUAUUUGCUGAGGGAGUAUAUAGGGGAAUGGCAGGCCUGUUCUCUUCAGGGAGCUCAUGGUCAUACAGACAGACAGACACUGUCUGGGGGACAGGCAGACACUGAAAGAGCUCUGCUGGAAGAAGGAGCUGCCAAGCUCCUCAUGUGCUUGUUCUGCACAGUUAUUGAGCACCUACUGUGUACCAGGUGCUAUAUUAGGUCUUGAGACCAGCAAUGAGCAUCAUAAACUCAGCGUGGAGCUUAGGGAAUCUGAUGGGGAAGUGAGACAACAAUGCAACGAUCUCAUCAUUAAAUGUCAGCGUAGAACUUGCCAAGUGCUGCAAAGGGUGAAUCCUGUGCCCUGAGCAUGAGUGGUUAUGACAGGGGCCACAGGAGGCCCCGGGGGACUUUGUGACACUCUGCACCACCGGAUGGAUGUUUCCGGGGCUCUCAGAGAGUGAAGCCACUUCCUCAGCGAGUCUCCCACUUGUUCCAGGCUGCCCUGGACCUUGGCUGCGGUGGACGGCAGACAGGGCCUGGCCAAAGCAAGUCCGGGUCCACAGGAUGAGGGGGCACAGCCGUGCAGCGAGGCCGUGGUGGAGGUUUGAGCUAUUGUACGCAGGGAUGGACACAGAGAGGAGUGGACAGGCAUGGGCCAUCUUUAGGAGUUUAAGGCGACAGGAGAUUUUGUUGACACAUUGGGGACGAUGAUGGGGAGAGGGGAGAGUCAUGGAUGGGGUGAAGGAGGGAUCCCUGGGGGUGUGCCUGCACGGGAGGAGAGAAUCUUGUCGUUUACAAGGAUUUUGAAAUUGGGGUAAAAUACAUAUAACAUCGAAUUUACCAUCUUUAUCAUUUUUCAGCGUCAGGGGCAUGGAGCACAUUCACAUUUUGUGCAGACACGACCUCUGUCCGGCUCCAGGACUUUUGUCCCUGCAACACAGAGACCCUGUCCCGUGAUACACUGACUCCCACGCCCACCCCAGCCCGGGCACCACCGUCUGCUCCAUCUGUGGUUUGGAGGACUCUGGGGACCUCGUGUGAGUGGGAUCACGCUCGUUUGUAUUUCUGCGACUGCCUUGUUCCAACGAUCAUUGUGUCCUCCAGGUUUGCGCCUGGGGAGCACAAGCUCGUGCUUCCUUCCUUCUUCAGGCUGAAGAAUAACCCAUCGAUUCGUCAGACCGUGGACAUUCGGGCCGCUUCCAAUUCCUGACUGGUGAGCUCUGCUGCAGCAGAUGCGGGUGUGCCAACCGCCUCUCCGAGGCCCUGGUGUGACUCCUUCAGGGUGUGUCCUUUGUUGGAUCCCACAAUGAUACUCUUUUGAGGAGCUGCCAUCCUGUCUUCCAGAGCGGUUGACCCACCUUCCAUUCCCACCGAUGGCAUGAUGGCUCUGGUCCCCACCCACCCCCCAGUCCUCGCCAGCACCCCUGACUGGGUUGUGACGUUUCACGAGACUGUGAGAGUCUAUGUUAGGACUUUGGAUGUGACUUACGACUCUAGCCAUUCCAGGGGGUGUGCGGUCGGUGGGUGUAAUUUUGGACCAGUUGAGGUGGAAGUCUUGGGACAUCACCAAGGCAAUGAGAAGGGGGUGGCUGGGCAGCCAGGGGUGGGGGUGCGGUGGGCCGUCGGCUGGAGGUAUGGGAGUUAUCAUCUGUGCGGCAGGGAUGGUGGAGGCCAUGCACGAGCGAGCUUGUGGGAGCGGAGGAGAGGGUUUCUACCACCACCCUGGUGGUCUGGGGCGUAGGGGUGUGGGGUCUGGUGCAGCCAAGGGAAGGGGAGGUGGUCAGCGGUGUCACCUGUCUCUAGGAGGUCUAAACACCCGUGGGCUUCGGGGUGAAGACGGGGCACUGAGGCAGGAGCAGAGCCUCCUCUCAGUCCCCAACAGAAGGAAAAAUCAGACACAGGACAGAGAGGUCAAAAGUCCAUCAACAGUAACCAUACAAGGACAGGGAUGCAAUCAGGCAACAAAUGGAGAUGAUGAUUCUGGAAGCGUACGCACAGAUAGCACCCCCCUCCCGGCUUCCAGAAGCAAAGGAGGAAGGAAGCAGAGUCCACAGAAUUCUGAGAGACUGUCAGGACCUCUCCCAAUUUUCAAAGAACUUGCUGCAGGGGUGAAGGAGUGAGCGAAAGACGUGCUCCUCAAUGUUCCAGAAUGCCCUGAGAACCCCACGGUGGCAGGAUGCACUCUUUUGGAGCUCCACGUGCUCUGCAGGGGGGCAGUCGGAAGCCGUUCCGGUGGCUCUGGGCAGAGCAACUGCUUUGGAUGCGGGGCGACCCUGAGGGCAGCCCCGGUCCCGCUCUGUAGCUCGUAGGAACCGCGCAGAGAAACUGGGGCUGGACCGAGCUCUUAGUCCGAGCAAGUGGAACCAGGAGUGUACUAGGAAGCAGAAGCCACACCGCACCACGGUACCACGGCAGGAGGGAGAGAGGAGACAACCCGCACAGCCUGUGGAGGAACGGGCGACCCACGAUGUCAGCAAGCGUUUGAAGAGACCAGGAAAUCCCGGCUUGGGUGCCUGGUGUGCGGAACCCGACGGGAGCGUGGGCCCCAUCACGCACAAUCAGUGUGAGCGUGGCGACCGGACGGUCCCUCAGACUCCCCUUCCUCUGUUGGAAUUCAAGUAAAAUUAGAGGUGGUAUUUCAAAACCAAAAUGGCGUGUAUCUGUCUCUUUCUAGGCUACUGUAAACUUAUGUCUGCGCAGCAUUUACCCAUCUGCCCUUCCUUCCUGCCAUCCCCCUGUAUACAAAUGUGGAGAGGCAGAGAUGUGAUGCUAUUGAUUGAACGGCAACAGCGGUUAUCUCUCUGCAGAAGGACCCUGUGUGGCUGCUCUAAGCUUUUCUAUUUUUUACAAUAAUGUGUUAGAUGAGGGCAGGAUCUCAAGGCAGGUGGGAAUGGGUGGGUUCAUUCCGGGAUGGUCUAAAUGUAGAAGGAGGAUGACCCCCCAAAACACAUCCUUGGAGAAAGGGGACACCCCCCCCCCCCGCUUUCAGCCUAAGGGCCUACCAAGUAUUUUAUCCCAAGGGGCUCUCAGUGAUGGCAGCCUGGACCCCUUUGGGAAAGCAGCCUGAGAGCCACAAGUUGGGGACCCCAACGGAGCUGACUAAAAACAAGUAAGAAAAGGAACUCCAACUUGUCACCAUCACGGGAGGAGAGCCUCACCUCUUAAGUGCUGUGUGUCCCGUGAACCAGCCUUUGGAAGGUCACUCUGUGCACGUGACCGUGGUGACACCGUGCAGAGAGGAGCACCCAUGGCCAGGCAGGAGCCAGCACCCCUGGAGAAAGAUGUACUCACACCCGUCCUCGAUGCUCGGGGAGAAGCAUUUCCAGAGGCUGCAAAUCCCCUAUGGAUCCGUCCAUGGCUGAUGAGCCAACAGCUUGGCCAGGAGUGAGGAUGACAGGCAUUGCUAAAGUGUGUCCGGUGACUUGCAUGGGAUGCUGUACACGCUGCUGUGAGCUCGUUGAAUCCAUGAGUGGCCUCUUAUAUGUGAUGUAACUAUGUAUGCAGGACCCAAGAACACACUGCUCGCCAACGAGCUGCUGUUGGACAAUUUCAUCCACACCGAUCGACGGUGCCUAUUUUCACGUUGGUCACAUGGUCCUUCUUAGUGGUCUUCUCUUUGGAAAAACAGAGGCGCCCCAUAGAGUUCGGCAUGGCUUGAGUUUAGAGCCUGUGUGUAUGUGUCUGUUUUUUGUGUGUUUUAUGUAUUCAUGAGCUUUUGAAUAUUCAUGUUUGUGGUGC
Molecule: long non-coding RNA, 8082 nt
Organism: Mustela lutreola (European mink)
Lineage: Eukaryota; Metazoa; Chordata; Mammalia; Carnivora; Mustelidae
Exons: 2
Source: RefSeq, a predicted model, not a curated record